RNAcentral lists this ribosomal RNA (677 nucleotides) under Sphenopus exilis. Its description in RNAcentral is "partial 16S ribosomal RNA". It matches the Rfam family "Bacterial large subunit ribosomal RNA", at positions 1838 to 2527 of the family's 2925-position model. The record is from RNAcentral. Lineage: Eukaryota; Metazoa; Cnidaria; Anthozoa; Zoantharia; Sphenopidae.
UAGAUGUAUAGAGGGUGAUGCCUGCCCAAUGGUUGUAUCUAAAAGCGGUUGAUAAAAGUCGACCUCGUAAGGACAAUUGAAUGGCCGCGGUAACACUGACCGUGAUAAUGUAGCGUAAUCAAUAGCCAAUUAAUUGUUGGCCAGUAUGAAUGGCGCCACGAAGGCCCCACUGUCUUAAGGAAAUUCCCAGUGAAAUUGAAUUCGUAAUGAAGAUGCUACAUCCAAUUUGUUAGACGAAAAGACCCCGUUGAGCUUUACUGGGGCACUUACACGGCCCCGGCCUUCCCGUGCCCGGGAACCGGCCGAAUUUAAAUGGGUGGUUUAGACUAUGUGGCAGCCCCCCGCCGGGGCAGAUGAAACCCCACUCCCCCAUGUCAAAGGGGCUAACCCCCCCCUUGGGGGGGACAGUGUAAGUAGGACAGUUUGGUUGGGGCGACCGCCUUUUAAAGAGUAACGAAGGUGCGCUUAAGGUGCGCAAUUAAUGACUGAAGCCUGACUGCGAGGGGGACACCCCGAGCAGACACCCCCAAGCCCGCCCGAAGGGCGGCGGUGGGGUGGGCCAUAGUGACCCGUUAAUUUAGAGUGGAAUAGUUAACGAUCAACGAAUAAAAGUUACCACGGGGAUAACAGCGUAAUAUCGUUAGAGAGUUCACAUCGACGACGAUGUUUGCGACCUC